CAAGAUGGCGGAUGUCGGGAGAAGCUGUAGUCAUUUGUCCGAAUGCAAACAAGGCGUUAUCUCACAGAGAUCCUCACAACAAUGACUCCGCGAUAGCAUCGCAGAGAUUCGGACAUCUUGCAAAGCCUGGAUGCAAUGGCGUCAAAUAUGACGGUCUUCUCAGAUCUGUUCAGCUGGCGUCGAACAACAACUGUUCAAAAAAUACUGCUGAUCGGUGUUGGAUUAGUAAUUGUAUCGUUCCUAACAAAUAUCUGGUCGUUAUUCGUGGCAUAUCUUCUUGCGUUACCGCUUUCAUGGAAAUUACUUCAUCUCGUCAUGAAACGGAAAACUCCGGCACCUUCUGACAAACUCUUGUUAGCGGUGCAGACGAUCAACAGAGUGAAACAGGGUAUUCUCUCCCUAGGGUCACCACAAAAAGAAGCAAAAGAAAGAUCACCGUCUUACAAAGAAUCCAAAGGAAUGUCUCUUAGUUAUGGUGUUGACAUUGGACGUGCAAAGGAUGUGUCAACUUUGAGAGGUCAAACUAUUGAGGGUGAAGUCAGUAUUUUUGUAAAAUAUGUUAUACGAGACUUUGUGCAAUCAUGGUAUGAGGACUUUAGUCACGAUGCUCAGACCCUGAAGGAAUCACAGCAGAUUUUACACGCGGCUGCUUUCAGUCUAACUAAACGAGGCCAAAAAAUACACCCACAGCGACUCACUAGGGAUCUUUUAGAAUUGUUUACUCAGCAUCUAUCAACAUUCCAAGUAGCCAGAUCAGUUUUUCUAAGUCAAAGAAGGGGAUCAAUGAGUACUUCUUCAACAAAAUGUGGGACCUUGGAAGAAACAUUUGAACAGAGAAUCAAAUUCCAUCCAGCAUUAAAAAAUGAUGAAAGUGAAAUGAACUUUUUGAGGAGCUUGUCGAAGUUAUUGCUGACACACAUUUUACCCACCAGUAUAAACACUUGUCGGUCACCUCUUGUUGUGAUGACUGAGAUAAUGGCAUGUAAUGUACUUAAAUCAGCAAUUGAUAUGCUCACAUCAACAGACUGGUUAUAUGAGAGCAUGGUUAUCCUUCUAUCAGACGAGGACCAUUUAGAAAACAGCUCUGAUGACAAAUGGAAGGACACAAAUACAAAACAUUCCAUUGAACAAACUCAGCCUACCAGAGAAAAAGAUACAGAUGUUGUGGUCAAAACUGAAGAAACUGUGCCAGAUGGUGAAACAAUUAAUGAAAAUCAUGUUGGAAAUGCUCAAGUAAAAGAUCAGGGCAUUGUAUCAGAAGAUGAGUGCGAAAAGCACAGGAAGGUGAUAAUCUCAGAAAAUAUUCCCCAGAUAUUGCUUGAAGAAGCUGGUUGUGAUAAACAUGAUGGAGGAAUAACAGGUGCUGAAAACACUGACAUGGAUAAUGAUGAGUUUAAGACGUGUAUAGAAGAGAAAUCCGACUGUGAUAAAGAUGAUGAAAGAGGGACAGAAGAUGUUCCCCCACCAAAUCCCACCAUGUUAAAUGAAACUGAUGACUAUGCUGAGCCAGAAACUCCUCCAGCACAAAGUGUUGAAUCCUCUCAGGAAUCAAAGAAAGAUGUGGUAGACUCUGAAACAGUACAGGAUUAUGCUUUAAAACCAUCAAAAAAUGACAAUAAGAAAAUAACUAGCACCUUGUUCAAUCUGUUCAAAAGACGGAAAGAGUCGACAAAAUCCAGGAAUGAUUCCAGUGCAUCAAACUCUACUUGCUCUAGCGAUGAAUUUCAUCGCUCAAGAGGAAAUACAUUUGAUGAUGGAGAAAUUUUUCAUACGAUUAUUCAGGGAAAAGAAGAGGCAAACUCGAACUUUGGUGUUGAGUGUUCUGAGGAGGCUGUUCCUGUGAAGGGAGAUGCAGUGGUACAGUUCUUUGUGCAGGAUGACAAUAAUGACAAAAGUAUGGACAUAUUGACCCUUGACGCAGACAAAUAUUUAGUUGAGGACAGUUCACUGCUUUUUCAGGAUGUGAGUAUUCCAGAAACAGAGGAACGUCAGGAAUACAGAAGCUCCUCAAAGUACACUCUCUAUACUAUAGAGUUCAAUGCUCUGUAUUUCUCCGAUGGGCCCCCAGUGAUGAAGAGUGGUGGUGUAAAGCGCCGGUUUCGUGAGUUUGUUAAUCUGCAGGCCAGACUAGAUGCCAAAGAUAACUACAAGAAACUACUUAAAGAAACGAAGGGCCCAAGUCGGUGGAACACGCUGCCAUUCAAGAAUAUGGACAAGGACAAUGUGGAGAGUAGAAGAGUUUUUCUGGAGAAGUUUCUGAAGUCGCUGAUCCAGAUUGAGGCAGUCUGCAAUGGCCCGGAGCUCCGGGAGUUUCUGGCUUAUGAGGGGGAUGGCCAUAUUGCGUUCGUCAAGAAGGCGCGAGAGAUAAGUGUGCCUAGGCUGGAUAAAAUGUUUGUCAAGACUGCAUCAGUGGUUUUUGACAAGCUGAAGUCAAUUCCAGACAUUCCCCAGAACGUCCUCUCUGCAGUAACGAAACGGGACCGCUCUGUAGAGAGGCAAGAAGACUGCAAGGUCGUAGAGGACUCAGACAGACAGGAGUUGGAGUAUUCUUGGCAGGAUCCGGACUCGGACUCUGUAUCCCAUCAGUGGCUUCAGGCUGUGGAGGAUUACAUCAGUAAUUGUGAGAAGGAUACACAUGAUGAGGAAAGCAUUACCAUAACAACAAGCUGGGAUGUGAAGGAGAAGAAAGCUUUGCUUGAGGAAAUUCAUGCCAAGUUGCCACGGUUACAGGGAGAUGGUUCAGAAGCUCCAGAUACACUGGUUCAAGAAGGAAAGGGUCAAGUUAUACCAGACCUUCCCCUUGCCAAUGCUGUCCUUGACCUGGCUCGCCAGACCAUCCAAGGUCGUGAGCACUGGUUGACACGUGAAAGAGUUCUCUCUGUUUCAAGGAUUGUGAUUGGCAAGGCACUUGACAGGUGGUUGUCUGACCAGAUCAGCUUCCUGACAUCGCCAGAGCGCUGGGUGUAUUACUCUCAGCUUCUGCGUAAAGCAAUAUGGCCUGAUGGGAAGCUGUCGGCCGAAGACAAGCCAGUUAAACCACAGAGUGAGAAGGAGGCGACACAGAAACAAGCCAAGCAAUGUCUGAAAGACUUCUUCCCUGAUUUCAUUGAGCAGUUGGCUGGAUCAGAGGAUUAUGACAUUGCAGCUGAUCAGAUCAUUGAUGUCCUGCAGUAUGAGAAACUAAACAGGCAUCUGCUGUACAUGUUCCUGGGGAUUCUCACGGAGAAACUGUUUCCCGAAAUCUCCGCACCUGAACUGCAAGAUAGAUUGUUCAGUUAAUACAACACAGAGACAGCAGAUUGUAGCACCUUGAAAUAUAUUCCAAAUUGUCAUUGUCAACCAAGGAUGAUGUUUUCAUCUGAGAUUGUACGCACAGAAAGUAGUUCCCCGUUCAAGGAGGAGGAUGGGGGAAGGUCCAAUAAUUGAGUGUGGGAAAACUUAAGUUAGUUCUCUUAAAUACAGAGGUUUUGUGUUUGGUCAAGCUUUCAGUUUCACUAUUGUAGAAUAAGAUUGUACAAAUAAGACCAUGAAGUUUGAUGUUGCGUGAUACAUGUGGCUAAUAUCAAUAAAUUGGAGGUGCCCCAUGUAAUCCAAGAUGGCCGUUGUAUUCAUGCACAUAUUCCAAGAUGGCUGCUCCUUGCAUUCUCGAGGACUGCAUUUGCUCUUCACAUUCCAAAAUGUCUUCACAUAAAGAGACAACAGCAUCUUCAUGCACAAGACCCAGAAAUAUGGAUCAAGAGUCUGAAAGGAUCGGCAAGAACUAGUGUAUGUAACAGGGUUGAAGAGGAAGUUAAAAUGUCUUAUUACUAUGAAUAUUAUAGUGCUAAAAUUUAUUGACUUUACAAGGUCAGAAGACUGAAAAUUGAGACAGUGCUUGAUGUAAUACAUAUAGAUUCAUAUUGAUAGCACAAAGCAUUAAGAACAAUGUCUUUUAGGCUACAUGAGAAUCAAUAUUUCAGUGCUUAGGUUCGUCAUAAUGUUUAUCAUCAUUUUGUGAUGAUUGGGCUUCAGGGAAGUCAUUUUUGUUGUUUUUUAUCAGUAAAUGUUGUGUUUUAACAUUAGAUUUAGGAAUGCCAGUGCUCUCCAGACUCUAACUUCAGAAAUAUCUUUCCUUGCCUAAACUUACCUCAUGGUUGUUGACAAGUCUUGUCUCCUGACCAAAGGAACAUCACUUAUUUUUCUCGGCAUAAGUUCACCUGUUAAAUGUCUUGUAUCUGGGUUAGUGCGGCCCCCCAGAGGAAGAUGCUCAUGCAAAGGGAGGA
This 4262-nucleotide unclassified non-coding RNA is filed under the name Haliotis rufescens (red abalone). Its description in RNAcentral is "sorting nexin-19-like, transcript variant X1". The record is from RNAcentral. Lineage: Eukaryota; Metazoa; Mollusca; Gastropoda; Lepetellida; Haliotidae.